AUGGAGCAGCAUUUCGCCGUCACCUUCCCGCCGGGAUCCUACUACCAGCACCACCGCUACUCCGCCGCCGCCGCCGCACCGUCUUCCUACUACGACAUGAGCGACAUGGACGACAUGGCCUUCCUCGGCACCCUCUUGGAGUCCACGGAUCAUGCCUCCUGCUCUGACCCCUCUCUCUCUUCAAGCUCGUCCUCCUCCGACAUGACGGCCGUGGGGGCUGCCGCACCACAUGUGCCCGUGGGCAGCAGCUCGCCGAAGGGCCGCGGUCACCAAGCCCCGGCAGCCAUGCCCAUUAUGGCCAAGGACUUCAUUGGGGUGCGCACGCGCCCGUGGGGCAAGUUCGCGGCCGAGAUCCGGGACUCGACGCGGAACGGCGCCCGCGUGUGGCUCGGCACCUUCGGCAGCCCGGAGGCGGCCGCCAUGGCCUACGACCAGGCUGCCUUCUCCGCGCGCGGUGAGGCCGCCGUGCUCAACUUCCCCGUCGAGCGCGUCCGGGAGUCGCUCCGCGCGCUUGCGCUCGGCGCCGUCGUGGGCUCGCCCGUGCUCGCGCUCAAGCGCCGCCACCGCACACGCAGGCGGUCGCCCAACAAGAGGCCCGUGAAGCAGCAGCGCCGGGUUGCCGCCGUGCAGGAGGCAUCGCGGUCUGCCACGACCGGCGCGGUGGUGCUGGAGGACCUCGGCGCCGAGUAUCUGGAGGAGCUCCUCCGGGUGUCCGAGCCGCCCAUGGAUCAUUUCAUCCACUCAACGGCGACGGCGUCGUCCUCACACUGCAAGCUUGUAUGCUUGGAUUAG
This 792-nucleotide ribosomal RNA is filed under the name Triticum aestivum (bread wheat). RNAcentral describes it as "partial small subunit ribosomal RNA". Lineage: Eukaryota; Viridiplantae; Streptophyta; Magnoliopsida; Poales; Poaceae. The record is from RNAcentral.